Molecule: ribosomal RNA, 274 nt
Filed under: uncultured bacterium
Lineage: Bacteria
Description: partial 16S ribosomal RNA
Rfam family: Bacterial small subunit ribosomal RNA
Source: RNAcentral
AUACGGAGGGGGCUAGCGUUGUUCGGAAUUACUGGGCGUAAAGCGUACGUAGGCGGACUGAUCAGUUGGGGGUGAAAUCCCAGGGCUUAACCCUGGAACUGCCUUCAAUACUGUCAGUCUUGAGAUUGGAAGAGGUGAGUGGAAUUCCUAGUGUAGAGGUGAAAUUCAUAGAUAUUAGGAGGAACACCAGUGGCGAAGGCGGCUCACUGGUCCAAUACUGACGCUGAGGUACGUAAGCGUGGGGAGCAAACAGGAUUAGAAACCCCAGUAGUCC